This 281-nucleotide long non-coding RNA is filed under the name Lathyrus oleraceus (garden pea). RNAcentral's name for it is "Pisum sativum (pea) long non-coding RNA (PSAT_LNC031209)". Lineage: Eukaryota; Viridiplantae; Streptophyta; Magnoliopsida; Fabales; Fabaceae. The record is from RNAcentral.
AUUGAUUAUAUUUUUGUGUUUGACAAGUCCUUCGGACUUGUGCCCACGUACCAACAUAAAAAUGAGGGAUCAAAACCUCGUAGUUCAUGGUAAAAAUUUCAAAGAAGUUUGUGAAUUGCUUUUAAUAAAAGUUUUAAUAAGAAAAAGGCGCAAAAGGCCCAAAAGUUGAAUGAAGUUGUUAGUUCUUUUUGUUUUUUUUUUUUGAAAUUUUAAGUCAAUAUGAUUAAAUUUAUUUACAAGUUUGAUUUAAGAAAAAGUUUGAAAAUUCAUUGGCAUAAGGC